This 900-nucleotide long non-coding RNA is filed under the name Homo sapiens (human). Its description in RNAcentral is "HSALNT0381858". The record is from RNAcentral. Lineage: Eukaryota; Metazoa; Chordata; Mammalia; Primates; Hominidae.
UGGAGCCCAGGGCAGGGUUCACAGAGCUAUUUUCAGUUCUCUUGCAGGAUCUCCUUCCCAGCCUUCAGAAAUUGCCGGUCUGGGAGUUGGGGGCAAGGAGAAGAUCCUGCAACCCAGUGAUUCCAUGGAAAGCAGAAAGAAGGACAUAAAGAAACGGAUACUUGGUGACAUCUUUGACUCACUGGAUCAAACCUUGCCUGAAGCUCACAUUUCUGAAAUUUCCAGAUACAAGAACAAAUACUUCCUCUUUAUUGUUUUACUAGAUUUGAGACAAGCUUUAAGUUUCUCAGACUCUUCCUCUUCCUAACAGAUUUAUCAGAAGCUGAAAGCUCUGAUCUUGUUGGGAUGCGGAUCGUGUCAGGAGAAGGCUUACUUUGCACGCUUUUCUUAGUCUGGUUGCCUAACUCAAGAACCUCGGCAUGGCUCUGUUACUUCUCUACUCAGACAAGCAUCCCUGCAGACACUCACUAGGCUAACUCUGUCUUUAUUUUUAGAAUUAGACCUUUACGAGAAGCACAGUUUUGUCUUCAGUUUCCUCUCCCCCCACCCGGAAUGGCCUGAGCCGAAGCCAGCUCCCUCCGAGAAGUCAUUACCGCCUGACUUGCGUUUGAUAUUUAGACACCUUGGUCACAACAUCUUGCAUUCUCUCGGGAUGCUGAUUUCUAACUGCUCUUUGGCCUUUCCUGCAUUGGUCCUCCUCAGGCAGGGGAUCCCUGCUCUUCUAUAUUAGUGAGAAAACCAAGGCUCAGAGAAACUGUGGAUUUUCUAAGGAUGCUGGCUCCCCGUCCCCUGUCCACCAUGAGUCAAAGCAAUGUGAGUCCCUCACCAGAUGCAACUGCCCAGUCUUGGACUUUCCAGUGACCAGAAUCAUGAGCCAAAUAAACCUCUUUUCUUUAUGAA